Emys orbicularis (European pond turtle) is the source of this 537-nucleotide long non-coding RNA. RefSeq lists it as uncharacterized. Lineage: Eukaryota; Metazoa; Chordata; Testudines; Emydidae. The record is from RefSeq and is a predicted model, not a curated record. The transcript has 3 exons.
AUCCGGGCGGCCAUCGCAGAACCGCUCCUGGGGCAGGCUGCGGACGUGCUUUGGGCUCCAACACUGCUCUUCGUGCGGGCUGCACGGCAGGCCGGACGCUGAAUCCGGAGGAGAAGCAGGAUACCAUAGUGCAGUACAGUGUCUAUAGGAAAGAGCCUGACUAAAAAUGCAACUAUUUCUGCGAUAGAAUGAACAGACUGUACACUAGCAAUAAUACUACACAACAAUUCUUCGAAGGAGAAAAGCUGGUCCAAUAAAAGAUAUUACCUCACCCACCUGAUCUCUCUAAUAUCCUGGGACCAACAUGGCUACAACAACACUGCAUAUAGCUCCGAGUUGUAAGUCUCAUUCUGACUAUGGUACCUUUUGCAGAACUGCACCCUCUAGCACCAUACAGAGCCACUGUUUUAAUAAUGAUUCAGACAAAGUAUCACCAGCUCUAAUUUGUACACGACCUGUGUUUUGAGGAUUCAUCCCAGGAGUGAUUAGGCUCGAAUCUGUUUAUCUUGUGAGAGCUGAUGAGUUCACACCUCAAGA